CACUCAGACAAUGCCCAGACCUCCAGAAACCAUGUGUCAAGCUCGGAUUGCCUUAGACAGGUGCAAUUUAAGAACAGCUUUCAUCCUCUUUUCUCUCAUAUUGUCACACUAUGUGUUCUGACUUCUGGCUCCUUUCCUCACAAGAAGCUCACCCAGCUGGAACUCUUAUGGGACCUUGGCACCAGAGACCACAAAUUCCUCUUUGAAGUUUUCUAACAGCAACAAUGGUAUUUCUGACUUGGCUUUCUUGUAUUUCUCUCACGUUAACAAAAUUGGUUCAGCAUCUACCAUGGGCUACAUGCUGAGCUACAGAGUUUCGCUCUGUCGCCCAGGCUGGAGUGCAGUGGCGCGCGAUCUCGGUUCACUGCAAGCUCCACCUCCCGGGUUCACGCCAUUCUCCUGCCUCAGCCUCCUGAGUAGCUGGGACUACAGGCGCCCGCCACCACACCCAGGAAUCCAACUUGCUGUUUGCUAUCACAUGUGCUAUACAUGCUGUUGAUGAAACUGCUAAAGGGGCUGAAUGUGACUGACGUCUUUGGAAGGAUGAGACUUAGCGUGCCUGUACAGUUGUGUCCAAAUGCUGUCCUCAUCUCCCAAUGAAAAGAUGGAUAAACAGAGGCAACCCGAGGAUAAAGGCCUUGCUCAGUGUCACACAUUUCAGUCACUAAAUAAGACACAAUGGAUGCCAGUAUUCUCAUCCCCUCACAAAUAAAGAGCCUUCAAGCUCUUGCAGUCAA
This is a long non-coding RNA of Homo sapiens (human), 737 nucleotides long. Ensembl annotates it as lung cancer associated transcript 1. Its record names the gene LUCAT1. The record is from Ensembl. Lineage: Eukaryota; Metazoa; Chordata; Mammalia; Primates; Hominidae.